Molecule: ribosomal RNA, 307 nt
Filed under: Sesieutes cf. schwendingeri MR044
Lineage: Eukaryota; Metazoa; Arthropoda; Arachnida; Araneae; Liocranidae
Description: partial 12S ribosomal RNA
Source: RNAcentral
UAGUAGUAAUUUUAAUUAAAACUAAUUUAUAAUGGCGGCAUUAUAAAAUUUAGAGGAACUUGUAAUUUAAUCGACAAUCCACGAUAAUUUUCACUUAAUUAUAAAACUUAUAUAUCGCCAUUUAAAGAAUUAAUUAUAAUAUUCUAUUCUAAAUAAAAAAUAAUAAAUUAGGUCAAGGUGUAGUCAAUAAUCAAGAAAAAAUGAGUUACUUUUAAAAAAAUUAAAGGAUUAUUAAAAUAAACUUUUUUAUAAAAAAGGAUUUAAUAGUAUUAAUAUAAUAAUAUUUUAUUAAGAAAAUAAUAUGUGC